RNAcentral lists this ribosomal RNA (997 nucleotides) under uncultured bacterium. Its description in RNAcentral is "bacterial SSU rRNA". It matches the Rfam family "Bacterial small subunit ribosomal RNA", at positions 356 to 1376 of the family's 1533-position model. The record is from RNAcentral.
CGGGAAUAUUGCGCAAUGGAGGAAACUCUGACGCAGUGACGCCGCGUAUAGGAAGAAGGUUUUCGGAUUGUAAACUAUUUUAGACAGGGAAGAAAUUGACAGUACCUGUAGAAUAAGCUCCGGCUAACUACGUGCCAGCAGCCGCGGUAAUACGUAGGGAGCGAGCGUUGUCCGGAAUUACUGGGUGUAAAGGGAGCGUAGGCGGGACGGCAAGUCAGAUGUGAAAUACAUGGGCUCAACCCAUGGGCUGCAUUUGAAACUGCUGUUCUUGAGUGAAGUAGAGGUAAGCGGAAUUCCUGGUGUAGCGGUGAAAUGCGUAGAUAUCAGGAGGAACACCGGUGGCGAAGGCGGCUUACUGGGCUUUUACUGACGCUGAGGCUCGAAAGCGUGGGGAGCAAACAGGAUUAGAUACCCUAGUAGUCCACGCCGUAAACGAUGAGAACUAGGUGUUGGGGGAAUAACUCAGUGCCGCAGUUAACGCAGUAAGUUCUCCGCCUGGGGAGUAUGCACGCAAGUGUGAAACUCAAAGGAAUUGACGGGGGCCCGCACAAGCGGUGGAGUAUGUGGUUUAAUUCGAAGCAACGCGAAGAACCUUACCAAGUCUUGACAUCCCACUGACCGGACAGUAAUGUGUCCUUUCCUUCGGGACAGUGGUGACAGGUGGUGCAUGGUUGUCGUCAGCUCGUGUCGUGAGAUGUUGGGUUAAGUCCCGCAACGAGCGCAACCCCUAUCCUUAGUAGCCAGCAGUAAGAUGGGCACUCUAGGGAGACUGCCGGGGAUAACCCGGAGGAAGGUGGGGAUGACGUCAAAUCAUCAUGCCCCUUAUGGCCUGGGCUACACACGUGCUACAAUGGUGCUAACAGAGAGAGGCGAAGCCGCGAGGUGGAGCAAAGCUCAAAAAUGGCAUCUCAGUUCGGAUUGUAGUCUGCAACUCGACUACAUGAAGCUGGAAUCGCUAGUAAUCGCAGAUCAGAAUGCUGCGGUGAAUACGUUCCCG